RNAcentral lists this ribosomal RNA (460 nucleotides) under uncultured bacterium. RNAcentral describes it as "partial 16S ribosomal RNA". It matches the Rfam family "Bacterial small subunit ribosomal RNA", at positions 338 to 795 of the family's 1533-position model. The record is from RNAcentral.
GCUACGGGAGGCUGCAGUGAGGAAUAUUGGUCAAUGGGCGCAAGCCUGAACCAGCCAAGUCGCGUGAGGGAUGACGGUCCUAUGGAUUGUAAACCUCUUUUGUCGGGGAGCAAGGCCCGCCACGUGUGGCGGGAAGGAGAGUACCCGAAGAAAAAGCAUCGGCUAACUCCGUGCCAGCAGCCGCGGUAAUACGGAGGAUGCGAGCGUUAUCCGGAUUUAUUGGGUUUAAAGGGUGCGCAGGCGGAAGAUCAAGUCAGCGGUAAAAUUGAGAGGCUCAACCUCUUCGAGCCGUUGAAACUGGUUUUCUUGAGUGAGUGAGAAGUAUGCGGAAUGCGUGGUGUAGCAGUGAAAUGCGUAGAUAUCGAGAGGAACACUCGUGGCGAAGGCGGGUUCCUGGACAUUAACUGACGCUGAGGCACGAAGGCCAGGGGAGCGAAAGGGAUUAGAUACCCUGGUAGUC